Hordeum vulgare subsp. vulgare (domesticated barley) is the source of this 2185-nucleotide long non-coding RNA. RefSeq lists it as uncharacterized. The transcript is spliced from 2 exons. Lineage: Eukaryota; Viridiplantae; Streptophyta; Magnoliopsida; Poales; Poaceae. The record is from RefSeq and is a predicted model, not a curated record.
GGCAACAGUCGCCGCUGCCCCACCUUGUCAUGCCGUUCACGGAGGCGAGGCGACCACCGCCACCGUAGGGCCCAGCGUCGCCUCCCACCUGCGCCGCCCUGCGCCGCUGCCACGUAGGCGACCGCCGCCGCCCACCUGCGUUCAAGGAGGCGAGGCGACCACCGCCACCGCAGAAGUUGAAUACAGGUCAGCAUGGAUUGAAAGCUCAAGCGAUCGAAGAGCGUUCCUAAGCUCAAGAACGGAUCGCCGACGAGUCCGACUAAAGGUAAUUCAUUUGGUUGUCCACUUCCCUCUACUCUAUUCAUUAAGAGACAUGUUUUUUCCUUGGACUCAACGUGUGUAGGAUUCUCCCUUCAUUUGCUUUGAGAUUUACAGAAAACUGUUAUGUAUAGAAAAAGGCAAAGAAAAACAAGAAUAAAGUAAAAAGAAACAUGCUAAUCAAGUAUUUUUUGUUCAGCUUCACCUAAGAGCCUAAAGUGGCAUGACGGGCACCAAACUAAACAAGAAUAAAGUUAAAACUCAAUUAUUUUCUGCCAACAAGAGAUUCUUGGAUGAUGCACUGAACUAUCUCUGAAUAUUUAUGCGCGAAUCAAAUACAUAAUAACAUGUAUAUUUCCGGUUGUAGAACUCCAUAACUACAUAUAUUGAGAUUGAUAACUUCACAUUAUAAAAGCAACACUAAGAUGCUGGUACCCAGAAACAUUAAUAUUGCUGGUUACCAUCGUUUUGGAAAACACUUGACGCAUUGAGGAGACGCCCUUUUUCGAAAACAGAAACGACCAUUAGGAAAACAUUCAGAAUAACCCCUGUACCCAGGCAAAUAGAUCAAAACUGAAAUUUGAUAUGAAUUGGGUGUGCUUUCUAAGAUUUGUUUAAAUCGGGUUUAUAUUCUGUGAACUCCAUUUUAAUUUUAGUGAUUUUACACCCUUGCAUUUGGAUCCGAGAUUCUAUAUGAAUAUAUUUUUAGCAAAUUACGUGUCGAAUUUCUGGUUACUAUGGCAUCUGCAUUAUUUUCUGCCAACAAGAAAUAAAUUAUGUUAUAUGUGUCGUCUUAAUUAUUGUAGUUUCCAAAUGCAAUGCACCAUGAUAUUCAUGGACUCUAGGUUCAGUGGUGCUGGCUUAGCUUGCAUCCUCCUGGUCAACGUGUUAUCUUUCUUCCUGUUUUUUGACUCUCAAGAGUAGUUAGAUAGAAAUACACAAAAUAAUCCUUGUUAAGGGCAGCAUGCCAAAGAUCUAUUUAAUCCCCUAGAUUCAAACAUAUGUCACCAUUUGACCCAACAGGAGUAGUUUUAAAAGCAAAAUAUUCUCUUAGUAAAAUAAUAUAUAAUCUGUGUGUGUAUCUUACCCACUUGAUUAUUGAGUACCGUCGUUUGUGUGUCCAUUCAAUUUCUCAUAUGAAGCUACUGAAUCUGACAAUUCCUUUUAUUUUACAACGCUAUUGCUUAUUUUUCCUAUCAAAAAUAAACUAGAGUGAAUUAACGAUUUGUGUUUCUUUAGAUGUUCUCGGUUGGGUGUCCUCUCUACUACUGAAGUUUUACCACCAUCUGGUGGUGUUUGAGAGCACAGACGUCAUACUUUCAUCAGCAACGGCCAAAUCCCCAGCGCCGCCGAUGAUGUACACCCCUGUACCCCUUGACCAUACCCCUUGACAUCCAGUACCUCGCGUCUGCUCAACUUGAACACCUCCUCAGUACGUACAUCUCUGAAUUUUGCCCUUGCUUGAGAAGGCCGAGCAUUGUUUUGUUGUAGCUAUAAUUUGAGUUUAGAAGAUAUACUCCUCUCUUUUUGACGUCAAUUUUUUCAGUUGAUUUUGCUCGAGGAUGGUGCCCUUUAUGUGCAUGAACUGAUGGGUGUGUUCACAACGUAGAGCAGUGCUUCUUUGUCCAGUCUCAUGUCUUUCUCUUCAGCACGGAUCAGUGAGUACUACCGAGCAAAAAUGUCCUUAUCUUCGUUUGUUUCUUCCUUUUCCUUACUACUUUUGUGGCCCCAAAUCUCACGAUGGCUCUAUGCAUGUUCUUUUUGUUGACAUGAAUUUUACCAUGAAAAUUUCCUACUGAUCUACAAUGUUCUGCUAUCUAAAUUUGUAUGUAUAUUGUGAAUGAGUAGACACUGGUGCAGAAACCCAAUUGGAUGAAAAUACUGACUACAGAGAGGUGUAAUUAUUAAUUAUUUUCUUGCCUUAAAA